AGGGAUGAGGCUCACUGGAAGAGCCUGUGUUUUGUGUGCAGAAGUCCCUGGGUUCAAUCCCCAGCAUCUCCA
Molecule: transfer RNA, 72 nt
Filed under: Sphaerodactylus townsendi
Lineage: Eukaryota; Metazoa; Chordata; Lepidosauria; Squamata; Sphaerodactylidae
Description: tRNA-Thr
Rfam family: tRNA
About the family: Transfer RNA (tRNA) molecules are approximately 80 nucleotides in length.
Source: RNAcentral